GAUGAAGAACGGAGCGAAAUGCGAUACGUAAUGUGAAUUGCAGAAUUCAGUGAAUCAUCGAGUCUUUGAACGCACAUUGCGCCCCCUGGUAUUCCGGGGGGCAUGCCUGUCCGAGCGUCAUUGCUGCCCUCAAGCACGGCUUGUGUGUUGGGCCUCCGUCCUCCUCCCGGGGGACGGGCCCGAAAGGCAGCGGCGGCACCGCGUCCGGUCCUCGAGCGUAUGGGGCUUCGUCACCCGCACUUGUAGGCCCGGCCGGCGCUUGCCGACACAUCAAUCUUUUUUCCAGGUUGACCUCGGAUCAGGUAGGGAUACCCGCUGAACUUAAGCAUAUCAAUAAGCGGAGGA
RNAcentral lists this unclassified non-coding RNA (345 nucleotides) under soil metagenome. Its description in RNAcentral is "partial contains 5.8S ribosomal RNA, internal transcribed spacer 2, and large subunit ribosomal RNA". The stretch from base 1 to 120 matches the Rfam family "5.8S ribosomal RNA", at positions 35 to 154 of the family's 154-position model. The record is from RNAcentral.